Molecule: ribosomal RNA, 272 nt
Filed under: uncultured eukaryote
Lineage: Eukaryota
Description: partial small subunit ribosomal RNA
Source: RNAcentral
CCUCCUGUACUUCCUGACCGGGAUCAUCUUGGGCUGGCUGCGAGGACGCAACGGAAGCCUGGUUGCCCCCUUCAUUGCCCACGGGCUGAUAGGAUGAUCGGACCUGCUGCCUCCUGUUGCCAGGCUGAAGCUACUGUGUAUGGGUGUCGCUUGUCUGUGAAGCCGUCACGCAACGCUGACCCGGUGUGCUUCGCGGACACCUGCCUUACGGGACCAUGAUGCACGCAUGAGGUCUUGACAAACCGACUGGUUUGUGGUACAAACUCUGCGGU